RNAcentral lists this transfer RNA (119 nucleotides) under Aureobasidium namibiae CBS 147.97. It matches the Rfam family "tRNA". Rfam says of the family: Transfer RNA (tRNA) molecules are approximately 80 nucleotides in length. Their secondary structure includes four short double-helical elements and three loops (D, anti-codon, and T loops). Further hydrogen bonds mediate the characteristic L-shaped molecular structure. tRNAs have two regions of fundamental functional importance: the anti-codon, which is responsible for specific mRNA codon recognition, and the 3' end, to which the tRNAs corresponding amino acid is attached (by aminoacyl-tRNA synthetases). tRNAs cope with the degeneracy of the genetic code in two manners: having more than one tRNA (with a specific anti-codon) for a particular amino acid; and 'wobble' base-pairing, i.e. permitting non-standard base-pairing at the 3rd anti-codon position. The record is from Rfam by way of RNAcentral. Lineage: Eukaryota; Fungi; Ascomycota; Dothideomycetes; Dothideales; Saccotheciaceae.
GCCGUGGUGGUGCAGUGGUCAGCACACCCGAUCCCACACUUUCUCUAAGUUCGUUCGCUUUCUCUAAACACUCUCUCUCAGGGAUCGGGAGGUCGCUGGUUCGAAUCCAGCUCAUGGUA